GCUGCAUAGCUUAGGCUAACUUAGGCUGGGAAUGCACAUUAAUAAACACACACACACACAUACACAUCAGGCAAGAAAGUGAUAUGGGAGUGAAUUAGCUUUGGGCAUUGGCAGAACAGAGGGGAAUGAUACACGGUGGCUCGGCAAAAAGCACUAUAUGCAAUUUAAUACCGGAGUUAUAAGAGGGGGAAAAAACAGAUAUGGUGGUGAAAGGACAGGGGGAUUGUGUGUAAGGAAGGACUCUGGGAUGAAGCAUGCAGCACCUCCCUAUGGAUUUCUUCUCAUUUUGUAUUCUGGGAAGCUCUUCCUUCAUUUCACCCUGGCAAAAACAACAGGAAUAAUGCCUGAACAGAAGAACAGGGGAGGGCAGUGGGAGGGAGCGCGGUGUCAGGCCGAGCGAGAGAGGGAAAUUAGGCUGAUUACCAUUUCAGCGCACACACACUUUCAGAAAUGUCAACACUAAAAGUUUAGAGUCAAUAGAAUUUAAUUUAAAAGAGGUUGCCAAGUCCUGCUUUCGCACAGAAAUGGGAUACCUUUGUAGUAUUGCCGUAGGCUGUUUUGUUUUUUCCUUAUGUCAAUUUUCAGGAAACACAAUACGCUCACGUAGGUGCACUAUAAACACUAUACGCUCACGUAGGUGCACUAUAAACACUAUACGCUCACGUAGGUGCACUAUAAACACUAUACGCUCACGUAGGUGCACUAUAAACACUAUACGCUCACGUAGGUGCACUAUAAACACUAUACGCUCAUGUAGGUGCACUAUAAACACUAUACGCUCACGUAGGUGCACUAUAAACACUAUACGCUCACGUAGGUGCAGUAUAAACACUAUACGCUCACGUAGGUGCACUAUAAACACUAUACGCUCACGUAGGUGCACUAUAAACACUAUACGCUCACGUAGGUGCAGUAUAAACACUAUACGCUCACGUAGGUGCACUAUAAACACUGCCAGAGGUCUAUUUUGCAUUGAAUCAGCACACACACACGCUUCAAACAUUCUUACUGAUGGGUAUUAAAAACUUACAGUCGCAUUAGAUAGGCGAGAGACCAGCACACUGUCUGAAUUACAGGAGGUGACUAUGGGGGUCAUUCGUUCCGUGGGGCAGUUUAUAAAAUGCCACUGAUGUUAAAUGUUUCACUUCCUCCCUCCCUUACGCUUAUUAAACCUCAGCCAUCGCUUCAGGACACAAAAAGUCAGACUGCCAGAGAGAUGAUGACUUUCUCUCUUCUUCUUUCCCGCGUCUCUCUCCAAAUCCUCUCCGUGACCCGGCCAGUGACUCUCUAAUCGACUCCUGACUGCUUUCCAGUCCAUUUGCAUUCUCUCUGACUCGACACAGAGGCUGUACUAAAGUCUAUGAAGACCCACACUCAGACGUUGUGCCAAGUCGAAUGAAAAUGUGAACUUUCUGAGCGGUUUUGAGGCGACGUGACGCCCGUCUGCUGUAAAUAAGACUCUGAGCGUAAUUAUGUAGUCGUUAAUGAAAAAUGAUGCGUAGAUAACAGUCGAUUAUGCGAGUACAGAAGAGUGGAGCAGAUUUACUUGUAUCAAAUCCGGCAGCAAAAGGAUGCCAGAGCCAGAGGUGAUAUAAAUCAGGGAAAGGCCAAGAUGAAAUUGUAAAGGGGUGCAAAAUUACUAAUAGGACCAGAGAGGCAAGCUGGGAUUUGACCCAGGAAUUUUGGAGUGACUUGUUCAUGAACUUAUCACUUUGUAGGGUUGGCCACAUGACUCCACCUAACUCCACCUGACUCCACAUGACACCCCAUGACUCCCCAUGACCACUUAACUCCACAUGACUCUACAUGACUCCCCAUGACUCUACAUGACUCCACCUGACUCUACAUGUCUCCCCAUGACUCCCCAUGACUCCACCUGACUCCACAUGACUCCACAUGUCUCCACAUGUCCCUACAUGACUCCACCUGACUCCACAUGACUCCACAUGACUCCACAUGUCUCCACAUGUCCCUACAUGACUCCACCUGACUCCACAUGACUCCCCAUGUCUCCCCAUGACUCCACAUGACUCCACAUGUCUCCACAUGUCCCUACAUGACUCCACCUGACUCCACAUGACUCCACAUGACUCCCCAUGACUCCACAUGUCUCUACAUGACUCCACCUGACUCCACAUGACUACACAUGACUCCACAUGUCUCCACAUGUCCCUACAUGACUCCACCUGACUCCACAUGACUCCACAUGACUCCAAAUGUCUCCACAUGUCUCCACAUGUCCCUACAUGAAUCCACCUGACUCCACAUGACUCCACAUGACUCCACAUGUCUCCACAUGUCUCCACAUGUCCCUACAUGACUCCACCUGACUCCACAUGACUCCACAUGACUCCACAUGUCUCCACCUGACUCCACCUGACUCCACAUGUCUCCACAUGUCUCCACAUGUCUCUACAUGUCUCCACAUGUCUCUACAUGACUCCACAUGACUCCACAUGCCAAAGUGUCCUUGACUAAGACACUGAACCCCAAGUUGCUCCCGAUGGCAAGCUAGAACCUUGCAUGGCAGCUCUGCUUCCAUUGGUGUGUGAGAGUGUGUGUGUGUGUGUGUGUGUGACAUACCACUUACCGCUGGCAUUCAAUUCAGCCGGCGGAAUGGAAAUCGACGUAUCGGACAUUUUCAAUCAGUAUAAACAAAUGAAUUAUUUUAUCACCGCAAGUCUGUUAUAAGAUGAGUCAGGACACAGUUGGGUUUCUGUGUGCAGAAUAUCGUGACUCUUUGUUUAGCUGCUGGUGAGUAGGACGAUAGGAAAUGGGAGGGGUGUGAGCAAACCCAUGCCUCAAGAUAACCAUCUCAGUGUUUCUCCGAAUAAACUAGGUUUCAAGUACUGACACACAGUUCCACCUCCGGUGUCAGCAGCAUUUCGAUGUGUUCCUGUGCUACUAUGAUGAAAUGUCACAUGUUCCGCAUUUAACGAGCCGCAUUUAACGUGACCGUGACGUGCUAUUUCGGUCUUUCUUGCUAGCCUGACACGCUGCACUAGCGUAGGAGUUCAGCUUUAAAAAAAUAAAACGGAGAAAUUUCUCCCUCCAUCUACCUCCGCUAGCUCCUCGACAACAUUGAGUUUCUCGACUCUGACUCAGCGAAAGGCGAGAAAAUGAGCACGUAACACUUUACAAUAACAGUACAUGAAUAAUCACACGCCAAUACCUGAAUUAAUACCAUCCAUCCAUCCUUACAUCUUCGAUAACGCUUAUCCUUUUCAGGGUCAUGGGGGAACCUGGAGCCUAUCCCAGGGAGCAUGGGGCACGAGGCGGGGUACACCCUGGACAGGGUGCCGAUCCAUCGCAGGGCACAAUCACAUACACACUCACACACCCGUUCAUACACUACGGACACUUUAGACACGCCAAUCAGCCUACCAUGCAUGUCUUUGGACUGGGGGAGGAAACCGGAGCACCCGGAGGAAACCCCCGCAGCACGGGGAGAACAUGCAGACUCCGCCCACACAGGGCCACGGUGGGAAUCGAACCCCCGACCCUGGAGGCGUGAGGCGAACAUGCUAAGGACCUGAAUUAAUACGUACAGUAAAUACGUCCUAAUGAUGCGAUAAGACAUGUACUAAUCACAAACGAACUAAUCACUAACCAUAACUAAAAUGAGAGUCUUAUGAACUUUCGGAGAAGGUUCGGAGAAGGUUAUUCGUGCUUUUAUCCCAUCGCGUUGAGAUUAUUGUAAUUCAUUGUACUCGGCUCUUCCUCGGUCAUCUCUUGCUCGUCUCCAGAUGGUUCAGAAUGCAGCUGCAAGGCUGUUCACCCCAAUUUUAGCACCGCUCCAUCGGCUCCCGGUCCAUUUUAGGAUCCGUUUUAAGAUUCUGCCGUGUGUUUUUAAAACUCUUAACGAUCGAGCUCCUUCUUAUCGCAAAGAUCUUCUUACACCACAUUCAGCUAGCAGAUUUUUUGGGAGGUUUCUUCUGUAUGUCCCUCGAUCCCGUUUAAAAACUAAGGCGGAUAGAGCUUUUUCAGUCGCCGCCUCUCGUUUAUCGAAUCAACUGCCACUGGACUUCUAUCUUGUUCUCAGACAGUUCAUAACAAGCUAGUGGGAGGUUUAAAGCUUGUGAAAUAGUCGGAUGUGCGUCGAAUGUAUUACGAAUGUUCCCCGCUAUAUAGUGUCUUGUCACUUUUGAUCAUCACAGGGCUGUACUGAACGAAUGGAAAUCAGGCUAAGCCGCAGUGCGGUGAGAAGGAUUUUCUCAUGAUGGAUGAACGUGGUGAAAAGUUCACCUAAUGUCUUCCAUUAGUUAGUGAGUAAUCUAGGUGUCUGCUUCGCUAAUAGCUCAUUAGCUGUUGUUCUUAGCUAAUGGUUAAUGGUUGUCUGAGUGCCGAGAGAGUGCUCGUCUGGCCGCGUGUCAGACGAAGGCUCCAGCUGGACCAGACUGACCUAGUUGCGUUGUUGAAAUUGAAGAAUUACUGCCUGGUAUAGCCGGAGAGCCGGGCGCUCUUGCAGGCGCAUAAGCGAGAGCUGCUACACAGGAAGAGAAAGCAAGUGCAUGUGUGUGUGUGUGUGUGUGUGUGUGUGUGUGUGUGUGUGUGUCAGCUACCAGGGGACUGUGAGAGUGCUGCUUAAAUAUGCAUGAAGGUUUGCAAUACCUGAAUGUUUUACAUUAUCCCCACCACCAAAAAAAUAAAAAUAAUAAUAAUAAUAAAAUAGAAACCUUGAGUAAACUCUGCAGAAUGGGAAAGAUUCCAGAGAUGUUUCUGCGUCUGCACAAGCGGCAUUAACAUCAAUAAAACAUUUGGACAUUCUUGUUUUUUUCAAAAAGUGCAACGCAAAGAGAAAGUGAGCUGAUCAGCAUAACGCUUGAAGGGACAGAGCGAAAGCAUAGCCAGGCGGCACCCGGUCGUCGCGGCACCCAGCCUGUCGUCUCCACGGUGACGGCGGAAAGGCCAAUCGCAUUUGACUGCAGGAGAGAUGAGGCAUCACUGGAGCCAUGCAGCGCUGAUGUACUUUAGCACGAUUGCUUUAUAGGGAGACUUUAUGAGUUCGGCUAACGAUGGAGCGAGAGAGAGAGAGAGAUAGAGAGAGAGAGCGAGAGAGUAAGAGAUUGAAUUUUCAUAACGUCUCCUCACUUCGCACGGUCCAAAUACGAAACGUCGAAAAAGACUCCACAACACCGACUUUAAUUCACUCCCAUCGCUUGCUUGACCUUUUUAAUCGCAGGCUCUUCAGGAGAGCGAGGCGGCGGAGGAACUGGACGACGGAAAGACAGACGACAACCGGGAUCAGCCUCUCCUUUUUUUUUUUCUCCAUGAAGCUCUAUCGAACCAUUGGAAGAAACCGGUAGGGGAGCCUUUGUGUGCUUUUCUGCUCAGAUCAGCACACUCACACGCCGAGUGAUAUACAGCUGGCUCGCGUAAGACAUGUCAGCUGCCCGGCGCACAGGAUUUAUCAAACGUCCGUGCUUGUUUUACACACACACACAUACACGGACAUAAAAUAUUUCACUUGGGUGAUGAUCGAGAGUUUAUGGAUUGUGAGAGGACAACGGAAAGAAAAAGAAUACGAAUGAACCCUGAGGGAGAGCCAAAUAAAACCAAAUGUACCUCGGAGCAAUUGUUUUCACUUUCAGCCCUGGGGCCAAAAGCUCAUAAUAAAUAAAAGCCAGAAGGAUUUCACAUCUGUUGGACCAUUCCAAUUAUACAAUACUUUGAUUACAGUUAUAUUUAAGUACAAUUAUAUAAUACUAACUAAUACUGCCAUGACACCAAGCUUGGGCGGCUGUGGCUCAGGUGGUAGAGCGGGCUGUCCACUAAUCGUAGUGUUGGCGGUUCAAUUCACACAUGACUCCAUAUGACUCCCCGUGACUCCACGUGACUCCCCGUGACUCCCCAUGACUCCCCAUGACUCCACAUGACUCCCCAUGACUCACCAUGUCUCCCCAUGACUCACCAUGUCUCCCCAUGACUCACCAUGUCUCCCCAUGACUCCCCAUGACUCACCAUGACUCCCCAUGACUCACCAUGACUCCCCAUGACUCCCCAUGACUCCACAUGAUUCCACAUGACUCCACAUGCCGAAAGAAGCGUCCUUGGGUAAGACACUGAACCCCAAGUCAGUCCCGAUGGCAAGUUAGCGCCUUGCAUGGCAGCUCUGCUACCAUUGGUGUGUGAGUGUGUGUGUGUGUGUGUGUGUGAAUGGGUGAAUGAGAGACAGUGUAAAGCACUUUAGAUAAAAGCGCUAUAUAAGUGCAGACCAUAUAAACGGUCUAGAGGUCGUUCAGGUCGACUACCCGUGCCUACGCCUAAAUUCUAGGUUUUGUCUGAUGGGCGAAAGGGACUUAAAUCGACACCUAGAAUGUUACAACAACCUCAGCGUUACGUUUUUGUGAUUAUCCUCAUCUAAUAUAUCCAAUAUAUCUAAUAUUUUCAACUCAGCUAAUUAUAAAGCUGUUUAUUGGCACAGGUCACAGAAAGCACUAAUGAGAUGUGUGGGGUUUCCAGCACUGGGACUGAGAAACACUGCCCUAGAUUCAGCUGCAACUAAGGCUGAGCGUUUGCUAAAAUCCCCAUCAAGGUUCAACUUUUUGGACAUGGUUUGUUUUUCAUAUGGUUCAGAUGCUUUCCCAUUUCAGCACGUUGUGUUCUUUGACUGGACCGGUCAUCUGACCCGUUCUGCUCUCCGGACCUGCCUGGUCCAUCCUGAUGCCCUACGUCUGGAUGGAGCUCUCAUCAACUGGAGGCUACAGCCUGGAGAUUGAUUAGGACGGUACCGCUUGAAGUACCAUGGAGAUGGUUUUGGACCUCAAUUCCACAUGGACGUUCUCGCUGUGGUUGCUGGGAUUGCAAUCACCACAUGCGGUUUUACUCUCAGGUUUCCUUUAAUGAACAGUGGACUAAUUCAAACAGACUUCAUAUAAAACCCAUAACGAACUUUCUUUUACUCUCACACUAUCCGUCGUUCCCCAGAUGAGGACGGGUUCCCGUCUGAGUCCGGUUCCUCUCAAGGUUUCUUCCUCAUAUCAUCUCAGGGAGUUUUUCCCUCGCCACCGUCACCACCGGCUCGCUCAAUAAGGAUAAACUCACACGCUUAAAAUCUCUAUCCUGUGUUUAUAGGUUUCUCUAAAGCUGCUUCGAGACGACGUCAGUUAUUAAAAGCGCUCUACAAAUCAAAUUGAAUGGAAUUUUCGAAGGACCACAAUUCGGUUGCUUGGAGUAAAAUUUCACACCCUAGAUUUGAUCAGAAAAUCAUCACAAAAUUCAUUUUGAGACCAAAGACUGUGAUUUCCCUUCCGCCGCCGUCUCUCACAGUGCCAUAGGAAGCAUGAUGUGAGAACAGAACUGUUGCAUUGUGUGUAAAUUUAGACUGAACUCCACCCACCACAGAGCAACGUUAUUAUAAAACAGCAGUUGUUAUAAAAACCCCUGGAAAUGUCAACAGCUCCUGGUUGUACAUAUGCGUGUACGUGCGUGCAAUCAGACAAGUGAGCAAGAGAUUUGACAGGACAAGACACAAGGUGAACAAAGGAGGGAAUAGGUGACUGUUUUUCAAGGUUACCUGUCAAAGCAAUGUUCAGAGGACUGGCACAUCCCAGAGUGCACUGGGGCAGAGCGUGAAGAAGCCUUGAAGGAUGCCAUAAUCGAGCCACACUCCGUCAUGCCAAGCUCUCUACUGCAGGUUCUUUGAAGGAACCUCCCGUCCAAUCAUAAACACACUUUCAGGAAGCAUUACAUCACCAGCAGCCAAUCGGGAGACGGCAAGUUCUCGCACAACAUGGAUUGGGGAAUUGGCACAAAAACGCACACGCCUGUUUCAACAGGGAUUUCAGAGGUUUCCACACACACUCGUGUGUAUGUGUGUGUAUGUGUGUGUGUGUGCGGAUAGGAAGUGCUCUGUAGGUCCAUUACUCAUACAAAUAUUACACAUUAUUAUUUAGUGUUCAAUUAAGUGUACCGUCUCCUUUGGGGUUCUUACUCAGCGCUAUGGCCCGUAUAAAGCACAAAAUACACGGCUUACUUUCUUUUCUUUUUUUUUUUAAUAAAAUGAAAUAAAAAGAGCUUACUUUGCGAUUUCACAAAAUGUGCGAGAGCGUACAUUUACCAAAGCUUGUUAUGCAAAUUAUAAGAGAUGACGUUUGACGAUUUUUAGCCACUUGAUUAGUACAAUUAGCUAGCUAGCUAACUUAGUUAAUAUCAGUCAUGAACAAAAUUGUGAAUGUUAUGCUAUAUUCUGAGGUAAAUUUACUAAGAAAAUUCUAGUAAGUCUUGUAUACUGUAAUCCCACCUAUGUCGAGGUCACAAGUGUAAGCUAGCACAACGACUCAGCUAGCGGUGUGUUAAACGUGAGCUGUUUAACUGUAAACUAGAUAGUUAUGUGCUUACAUUACCUCAGUAAAAUAUACAAAGUGAUCCAGUGGAGAUAGUUCAUCCUUUGCUGUAUAAUAACCGGCACGUGUUUCGUUCCUCGUAUACCACUACAACGCCCCUAGUCAGCGAGUUAGCGCUAACAUUACCUCAGUAAAAUAUAGAUUAGCGGUAGCGAGGAAUGAUUCGUGCUGUCCCGGUACUGAAAGGAUUCCCUGAUGUACGUGAACAAACAUUUCGACUUUGGCGCGAUAGUAGAACAUCACUAAUAGCGCUGCAUAACCAGCAGAGUGGAGGAAAGGGGUGGGGUCAGAAUGGCGCUAUUUGCAUAUCAUGAAUAAUAAUCGUGCUGGUAAGGAUUUCUAGUACUUUCCUGGGUUUUAAAAUGACUUGUUAGGAAAUAUGGAUUACUUCACAGGGUUACAGGGAACUUCUCAGUAUGAUAGCAACCUAGCUGAUGUAAUAUGCUCGUUCAGUGCAGGCGCACACACACACACACACACACGGAAACCAUUUUUAUUUUUGGAUAGCUCUUACAGUUUCUGAUAUAAUUAACCUGUAUGUGCGUGGUCAUGUUUUUAUAUGUCGGUUGGACGUGGUGUGAUUGUUGGCUCAGUAGUCAGUGCUCUGGACUGCAACCUUGUGGAGACAUUUGGCUAAAUAAAUAAAUAAAUAAGGUAAAGCGGCAGAAUAAUUCCUUGUGGUUCCUGAGGUUAGGGUUCAUUCUGUAAUUAUGAUGUCUUUGUAAGGUCCUCACAAGUGUGUGUGUGUGUGUGUGUGUGUGUG
This is a long non-coding RNA of Ictalurus punctatus (channel catfish), 9108 nucleotides long. NCBI's taxonomy places the organism in Eukaryota, Metazoa, Chordata, Actinopteri, Siluriformes, Ictaluridae. The record is from Ensembl.